UAUGGGGUCCUUUAGACCAGCUGACGUGGUA
RNAcentral lists this non-coding RNA (31 nucleotides) under Homo sapiens (human). Lineage: Eukaryota; Metazoa; Chordata; Mammalia; Primates; Hominidae. The record is from RNAcentral.